Molecule: long non-coding RNA, 454 nt
Organism: Epinephelus fuscoguttatus (brown-marbled grouper)
Lineage: Eukaryota; Metazoa; Chordata; Actinopteri; Perciformes; Serranidae
Exons: 3
Source: RefSeq, a predicted model, not a curated record
UAUUAUUUAAGAAAUAAACACAUUUUUUCAGUAGGACUCCCAUUCCCCCCCCAUGAUGUCUCAGGCACUUGGUACAGUCUGAUUGACCACUUCCUGUAUUUAAGAGCUCUGCUUUCAGGUGUGCAUCUUCUGCUCCAAUCUGACAAGAUGUCCUCCAACAACAGCAACAGCAACUCCAGCACCGGUCAUGUGAUGACAACGAACCAUCCCCAUGACAACUGAGUAAACCUGCUUCAUUGAGGAAGGCCACAAGAUCCAUCUGAAAAGUUUGGAAAAAACAAACACUCCGUGAAGUGUUCACUAGUGCAGACACGCGCCACAGCCAUUGAUCAAACCUCAGCUUUCACUAAUGCUCGGACAUCUCAUUGGAACAUUCUCCAGCACAGCCGCCUUGUGUUUCUUCGGGUGCUCGGGCCGCUUGUCCUGUAAUCCCCUAACCCAGCCCUGGGACCUG